GGAUUAGAUACCCUGGUAGUCCACGCUGUAAACGAUGAUAACUCGGUGCUGGCGAUAUACAGUCAGUGCCCAAGCGAAAGUGAUAAGUUAUCCACCUGGGGAGUACGAUCGCAAGGUUGAAACUCAAAGGAAUUGACGGGGGCCCGCACAAGCGGUGGAGCAUGUGGUUUAAUUCGAUGAUACGCGAGGAACCUUACCUGGGCUUAAAUGCAUAAUGACCAACUGGGAAACCAGUUUUUCUUCGGACAGAAUGCAAGGUGCUGCAUGGUUGUCGUCAGCUCGUGCCG
This 287-nucleotide ribosomal RNA is filed under the name uncultured bacterium. RNAcentral describes it as "partial 16S ribosomal RNA". It matches the Rfam family "Bacterial small subunit ribosomal RNA", at positions 775 to 1067 of the family's 1533-position model. The record is from RNAcentral.